RNAcentral lists this unclassified non-coding RNA (543 nucleotides) under Hevea brasiliensis (rubber tree). The record is from RNAcentral. Lineage: Eukaryota; Viridiplantae; Streptophyta; Magnoliopsida; Malpighiales; Euphorbiaceae.
GGACCUUCAAUCAACGGCGUUAAAUUUUCUCCGAGCACAGGCCUCAAACUCCCCGAUCUCGCUACCAAAUGCUCCGGCUGCGAAGCGUAGGGAUUGCAAUAGAUGUUGUUGCUGCUGCUGCCGCUGCUGGUCUUCUUUCUCCGAAGCAAACCCGAAAACGGCGAAGUGGUUCGUGCGGGACUGUUGGAGCGGGAGCGAGAAGGGGAGAGACCACGAACCACUUCUUCUUUGAGAGCUGCGAAAAAACCCUGCUUCUUUUCCAUUUGUGGGCAACGAAGAAGAAGAAGAGAAUGUGAUGGUAAGAAGGAGAAUAAAGGUUCUGGUUUUGGCUACGGUUACAAAAGAAGUGAGGUUUCUACAUAAAGAACAACAGAAACGGAGUGAGUGAGCGAGUGAGUAAAUGAGUUAGUGAGUGCGUUAGCGAGCGAGUUAAGGAGUGUGAUUUUGGGUUUUCUUUCAGAGAGGGGGAGAGCGGCUCAUGGCACGAGGUAAGAAGGUGGUGAUAUAUUAGUGUGAGAAAUUGAGAGAAUAUUGUAUUUUUUU